GUGGGUAUGGCUCAGCAGUAGAGCACAUGCUUAGCAUGUGCAAGGUCCUGGGUUCAAUCCCCAGCGCCUUCA
Molecule: transfer RNA, 72 nt
Filed under: Camelus bactrianus (Bactrian camel)
Lineage: Eukaryota; Metazoa; Chordata; Mammalia; Artiodactyla; Camelidae
Also listed under: 1 other name
Rfam family: tRNA
About the family: Transfer RNA (tRNA) molecules are approximately 80 nucleotides in length. Their secondary structure includes four short double-helical elements and three loops (D, anti-codon, and T loops).
Source: Rfam by way of RNAcentral